Long non-coding RNA from Oncorhynchus keta (chum salmon), 1764 nucleotides. RefSeq lists it as uncharacterized. Lineage: Eukaryota; Metazoa; Chordata; Actinopteri; Salmoniformes; Salmonidae. The transcript is spliced from 3 exons. The record is from RefSeq and is a predicted model, not a curated record.
UUCCCAGUAAAGGGUGCUCACCUGCAUUCAUUAGGCCUCUUUCCAUCUACCAAGCCAGUUCAACAGAGUCCUACAAAUGCUUGUAUAGAAAAUGUUCCUGGGACUUUAAAAUCUAGUGCCUCGGCAGCUUUUUGAGUUGGGCAUGUAUUUACAUUUUGGGCCCUCAACUGGGAAACCAAAUCAACUGGACCCACAAGGAUGGGUGUCAUGGAUGUUCCCCGGGACCACGAUGUGACUUGAGGGCUGCCAUAAGGAGAAUUUGUUUUUUGUUUUGUUAUUUUGGACCAACUUUACUUGUGCUAAAUAAAUGUAAGUUCUUCAUAGUACUAUAUAAUCAACUAAUUGUACAUCUAUGUGCUAAAAUGACCCCACUUAAUGUAUACUAGGUGUAGUUGUAAGACAUUAUUUGAGAUGUCUUCUAUACACUUACAACGUAGAGACAUGGAGAGCUACUUGCAAAUAGUAUGAAAUAAAGCAGAAGUGUCACUAGAUUAUCCCAUGUGUACUUUUUCAGUACUUCAAUACAGACUCAUCAAACUGGUGUCUUUUAUAUCAGUGCAUGUAUAUGGUAUUGCAGUACAUUACAUUGCAGUGUUAUUAUACUAAAUCACCUUUGUGUAUGUGUGUAUAUAUAUAUAUAACAUGUUUGACAUAUUUACACAAUUGUACUGUAGGCCUGAGUGUUUGUCUGUUUAAUUGCACUGGGAUGACUUCUGGCAUUGCACACUCCAAGAUUGUUCCAGUUGGAAGUGGUUCUUGUACGUUGACCUUUUGUGUGAAAUGAGAACACGUUGACUAGCAGAUAUUGAAUCGACAAUGUACGUGUAAAUUAGACAAGAGCUGGAGCAAUGCUGUAGUUAUCGCACCCUGAAACUGCUGCUCACACUAAGACGAGCUGAAGCCAUGAUCUGCCUGGCUGCUCUCAAAAUGAUUGUUUGAAAAUAUUGUGUGCAUUUCCAUAAUGCUGUGUUGUGUAGCCUCCUACACAACUCCUAGCUGUCCUUCUGUAGGGUUCGAGUAGCCCUGGAAUAGGAUGCAUAUUUCCCAAUUGCUUUUGCGUCAAGGACCGAGGGACCAUGUACACAAACUCACAUAAUGGAUUGUUAAUUCAAAAUGAGCACCAACCACUUGUACAGAGCAACUAGAUACAGGCAACUGCCAAAAGAGAAGAAACAAUAGGGCGUUGGGCCACCACGAGUUGCCAGAACAGCGUCAACGCUUCUUGGCAGAGAUUCUACAAAAAGUGGUGGAAAAUGUCCCAAGCGCCGCUCCAGAAUCGCUCAUAAGUGUUAAAUUGGGCUGAGAUCUGGUGACACACAACCCCUCUUUUAAAGUCAAUGAGAUCUCUUCUUCAAGCCACGGUAGCCAAAAUAAUAACUGGGCAUUCUUAAACAUGUUGAUUGCUCAUUUACCUCAGGAACCACACCCGUUUUCUAUAUACACUAUAUUUUAACAUUGUCUUAUCAGUUAGACACUCUUAUCCAGAGCAACUUACAGUAGUGAGCGCAUUCAUUUUUCAUACUGAUAUAUAUAUAUAUAUAUAUAACCCACCACCCGAGUGCAGCAAGAGCCAUGUUCUUCCAACUGAGCCACACUUCAUAUCCCUCAUUUACUCGAGGGUAUUUAUUUUUGGCAGUUACCUGUACAAACGCAACAAAGCUUGACCUUUCAUUUCAUGUUUGGCGCCAUCUCCUGGUAACCUUGUGGUAGAUCUGUAAUUAACAGGCAAAUACUUCCAGUUUGGAGUAAUCGAACAGACUAAAU